RNAcentral lists this ribosomal RNA (744 nucleotides) under Salmonella enterica. RNAcentral describes it as "partial 23S ribosomal RNA". It matches the Rfam family "Bacterial large subunit ribosomal RNA", at positions 2059 to 2802 of the family's 2925-position model. RNAcentral also lists the same sequence under 2 other names. Lineage: Bacteria; Pseudomonadati; Pseudomonadota; Gammaproteobacteria; Enterobacterales; Enterobacteriaceae. The record is from RNAcentral.
AUGCAGUGUACCCGCGGCAAGACGGAAAGACCCCGUGAACCUUUACUAUAGCUUGACACUGAACAUUGAGCCUUGAUGUGUAGGAUAGGUGGGAGGCUUUGAAGCGUGGACGCCAGUCUGCGUGGAGCCGACCUUGAAAUACCACCCUUUAAUGUUUGAUGUUCUAACGUGGACCCGUGAUCCGGGUUGCGGACAGUGUCUGGUGGGUAGUUUGACUGGGGCGGUCUCCUCCUAAAGAGUAACGGAGGAGCACGAAGGUUGGCUAAUCCUGGUCGGACAUCAGGAGGUUAGUGCAAUGGCAUAAGCCAGCUUGACUGCGAGCGUGACGGCGCGAGCAGGUGCGAAAGCAGGUCAUAGUGAUCCGGUGGUUCUGAAUGGAAGGGCCAUCGCUCAACGGAUAAAAGGUACUCCGGGGAUAACAGGCUGAUACCGCCCAAGAGUUCAUAUCGACGGCGGUGUUUGGCACCUCGAUGUCGGCUCAUCACAUCCUGGGGCUGAAGUAGGUCCCAAGGGUAUGGCUGUUCGCCAUUUAAAGUGGUACGCGAGCUGGGUUUAGAACGUCGUGAGACAGUUCGGUCCCUAUCUGCCGUGGGCGCUGGAGAACUGAGGGGGGCUGCUCCUAGUACGAGAGGACCGGAGUGGACGCAUCACUGGUGUUCGGGUUGUCAUGCCAAUGGCACUGCCCGGUAGCUAAAUGCGGAAGAGAUAAGUGCUGAAAGCAUCUAAGCACGAAACUUGCCCCGA